GUUUUUAUAGUGUAACCCCCAACAUAUCGCAUUUUCGUUGCGAAGCUGAAACCAAUUUCUAAAAACU
RNAcentral lists this transfer RNA (67 nucleotides) under Ocypode cordimanus. RNAcentral's name for it is "tRNA-Glu". Lineage: Eukaryota; Metazoa; Arthropoda; Malacostraca; Decapoda; Ocypodidae. The record is from RNAcentral.